GACGAACGCUGGCGGCGUGCUUAACACAUGCAAGUCGAGCGGAGCGGCGAACGGGUGAGUAACGCGUGAGUAACUGCCCCCCUUUCUGGGAUAACAGUUGGAAACGGCUGCUAAUACCGGAUAGUGGGGGAUGAUUCGCGUCUUAUCAGCUCGUUGGUGGGGUAGUGGCCUACCAAGGCGACGGCGGGUAGCCGGCCUGAGAGGGCGACCGACGACAAUGGUCUGAGAUACGGCCCAAACUGCUACGGGAGGCAGCGGAGGGGAAUAUUGCACAAUGGGGGAAACCCUGAUGCAGCAACGCGCGUGCGGGAUGACGGGCUUCGGGUUGUAAACCGCUUUCAGCCAUGACGCGGUAGUGGCAGAGGAAGCACCGGCUAACUACGUGCCAGCCGCCGCGGUAAUAC
RNAcentral lists this ribosomal RNA (404 nucleotides) under uncultured bacterium. RNAcentral describes it as "partial 16S ribosomal RNA". It matches the Rfam family "Bacterial small subunit ribosomal RNA", at positions 28 to 526 of the family's 1533-position model. The record is from RNAcentral.